Molecule: small RNA, 327 nt
Filed under: Bos taurus (domestic cattle)
Lineage: Eukaryota; Metazoa; Chordata; Mammalia; Artiodactyla; Bovidae
Source: RNAcentral
UAUCUUUGACAAAGGAGGCAAGAGGGGAAAAUUCAAUACUCUCACCACCUCGCUGGGUGACUUGAGCCCUAAGGUCCUGCUUCUUUGUCAGUUUGGGAAUUUUCAAAAGCCAUUCCUUUCUACACACCUUGUCAUCACAGAUCCAACAUUCCGUCUCCACAUAGUCAAAAACCAACCCUCCCAGGUUGGCUUUCUAACCUCAUGUUUCAUCUUCCAGGCCCUAUGCACACUACUUGACCUGCAUUGCAGUUUGGGGGAUGCAGGACCACACAACACAUUCUCUAUUUGAUUCUCACUCUAGACAAACUAAAUGUCAUCAUCUUCUUC